This 50-nucleotide non-coding RNA is filed under the name Devosia sp. LC5. RNAcentral's name for it is "Guanidine-II riboswitch aptamer (mini-ykkC)". It matches the Rfam family "Guanidine-II riboswitch aptamer (mini-ykkC)". Rfam says of the family: Simpler in structure and has fewer highly conserved nucleotide positions than the ykkC-yxkD leader. Despite this each of its two stem-loop structures directly bind free guanidine. Lineage: Bacteria; Pseudomonadati; Pseudomonadota; Alphaproteobacteria; Hyphomicrobiales; Devosiaceae. RNAcentral also lists the same sequence under 1 other name. The record is from Rfam by way of RNAcentral.
CGACCGGGACGACCCGGUCAUGCCCUUGGGUCUUGUCCAGGACGACCUGG